RNAcentral lists this ribosomal RNA (591 nucleotides) under Penicillium sp. RNAcentral describes it as "partial large subunit ribosomal RNA". It matches the Rfam family "Eukaryotic large subunit ribosomal RNA", at positions 50 to 656 of the family's 3401-position model. The record is from RNAcentral. Lineage: Eukaryota; Fungi; Ascomycota; Eurotiomycetes; Eurotiales; Aspergillaceae.
ACGGAGGAAAAGAAACCAACAGGGAUUGCCUCAGUAACGGCGAGUGAAGCGGCAAGAGCUCAAAUUUGAAAGCUGGCCCCCUCGGGGUCCGCAUUGUAAUUUGCAGAGGAUGCUUCGGGAGUGGCCCCCAUCUAAGUGCCCUGGAACGGGCCGUCAUAGAGGGUGAGAAUCCCGUCUGGGAUGGGGUGCCCACGCCCGUGUGAAGCUCCUUCGACGAGUCGAGUUGUUUGGGAAUGCAGCUCUAAAUGGGUGGUAAAUUUCAUCUAAAGCUAAAUACUGGCCGGAGACCGAUAGCGCACAAGUAGAGUGAUCGAAAGAUGAAAAGCACUUUGAAAAGAGAGUUAAACAGCACGUGAAAUUGUUGAAAGGGAAGCGCUUGCGACCAGACUCGCCCACGGGGUUCAGCCGGCAUUCGUGCCGGUGUACUUCCCCGCGGGCGGGCCAGCGUCGGUUUGGGCGGCCGGUCAAAGGCCCUUGGAAUGUAACGCCCCCCGGGGCGUCUUAUAGCCAAGGGUGCCAUGCGGCCAGCCCGGACCGAGGAACGCGCUUCGGCUCGGACGCUGGCAUAAUGGUCGUAAGCGACCCGUCUUG